AUUGAACGCUGGCGGCAGGCUUAACACAUGCAAGUCGAGCGGGGGAAGGUAGCUUGCUACUGGACCUAGCGGCGGACGGGUGAGUAAUGCUUAGGAAUCUGCCUAUUAGUGGGGGACAACAUCCCGAAAGGGAUGCUAAUACCGCAUACGUCCUACGGGAGAAAGCAGGGGAUCUUCGGACCUUGCGCUAAUAGAUGAGCCUAAGUCGGAUUAGCUAGUUGGUGGGGUAAAGGCCUACCAAGGCGACGAUCGGUAGCGGGUCUGAGAGGAUGAUCCGCCACACUGGGACUGAGACACGGCCCAGACUCCUACGGGAGGCAGCAGUGGGGAAUAUUGGACAAUGGGGGGAACCCUGAUCCAGCCAUGCCGCGUGUGUGAAGAAGGCCUUAUGGUUGUAAAGCACUUUAAGCGAGGAGGAGGCUACUCUAGUUAAUACCUAGGGGUAGUGGACGUUACUCGCAGAAUAAGCACCGGCUAACUCUGUGCCAGCCGCCGCGGUAA
This 501-nucleotide ribosomal RNA is filed under the name uncultured bacterium. RNAcentral's name for it is "partial 16S ribosomal RNA". It matches the Rfam family "Bacterial small subunit ribosomal RNA", at positions 30 to 523 of the family's 1533-position model. The record is from RNAcentral.